UUUUUUUAAAGCCCUUUGGCAGAAGCCCAAAGAGCCCUUAGUGUGAUAGAAAUUUUUGACUUCUCAAAAUAAAGUCCAGAUCUCUACCCCCAGAAACUCAAAUUGAUUCACAAAACUCCCGCUUAAAAAUCUUUUCAUACAUUUCCAGUAACACUAAAAUAUCCCGCUGUCUUUCUGUGACACCUUCUUUUUAACCCCUGCAAUUCUUGACUGCCAGACUUUCAGACUUCCUGCCCAUGAGAUAAAAUCCAAGGGCUUUAGCCCCGAACGGAGCAAGCAUAUAUCCUGUGGAAAACACAUAGGUAGUUUCCCGCUUUGGGGGACUGAGAGCUUAAAUUGUUUUGCACAAAAUAUAAAUCUUAACUUUGUAUCGCUUCCGUCCUUGUUUCUCCACAGGCGUCCCUCUAGAAAGACUGAAUCUCAUGUCCCCUUUUCUAAGCCCGUCUUGAUUUUGUUAAUUCUUAUAGCUUUGUAUUUUUUAUGGCUUUAUAUUUUUUAGUCUUCAGUUCACCCAACAGUCUGUUUUUUUUCUUUUUUCUUUUUGGGCUUAGGCAUUCUGCUUGGACCCCCAGAGAAUUUGAGACACUACCAGAGAGAGACAGUACCACCACGUAGCCCACCAGGAGCCAGGAGGCAAACACCACGCCGUGGAACCUAAAGGCUAUGCUGAGGGUAGCCCAGAGAUAAGAUGGCUGCUUUCUCCCAGGAAGGGAGGAAAUGCCUGGUCCGGGAUCACAGAAAAAGCUAAGGCUCCCUGCCCCUUAGUGGGCAGGGGGCUAGUGAGGGAGCCCUGGCCCCUUCCAGGGUGAGCUGUCCUAAGUGACCUCGGGGAACCAGCAGUGCAGACUCAGUGCCCUGCAAGGCAGAAGACCCUAUUGUGCUUCCCGGGAUUGACUUUGGAGACUCCCCUCUAGGCAGAGGGCCGUGUCGCCUGCUGCAUGGUGCUGAUCUCUGUCCAAAGUACUUCCUGCACUUUCAAGGGGCCUGUGGGCUUCUCAAAGCAUCAAGACCUGUCGCCUGGAUCAGAAUGGGAGGGAGGCUGUCUGCUGCCCUGUCGUAUCCACACACCCGAGGAGGAAUGUCUGUGUGUGCACAGCAUACGCUGCACGCUGCACGGCGCUCGAAUGGAAGCCCUAAUGCGAAUGGAGGUUAGCCUGCUGUUAGAGACCUUGGCAGUGACCGCCGUGGGCAAUGAGCCAUGGGCCAACAAUAUUCAGUGCUGUAUACUGGAUUGGCCAGCAAUAAAAGGACUUAGUUUGUGCUCGAUUUCGCCCUGUUGACCCUGUCCUACCAACUGACUCACCCUGACGCGCCACAGGUCUUGGCUUUCACCUGUGUGGGUAAGGGAAGAAGAGAUUUAUAACGCUCACAGACAGCCGACUUACUGAGUUUUUCUAAGAAACAAAAUCGCUGCAGGUAGCUCUCCGUGUAAGGAGCAGAGAGGAUAAUAAUGAGCGCAGCUGGCAAUGUUUCAUGAUUAAAUUCUGGGGAAGACCUUGCCUGUAUAAUGCUAGAGGAGGAGGGAAGACGCUGAUGUAAGUGGGAGUCAAACUUCGUGUCAUUGCUGGGAGAGGGGCGCAGUCGGGCCCACAGAAUGGUUCCUGAGGAACAGGUUUAAAAGUGGCCAUGAGCUGACCAGUGAUGAGAAUGUUUUGUGAGUCAGUCAUCAGGAUGGAUCCACUUCAGCCCCACCAAACUCCUCAGGACAAAAAAGAUGAGUGCCUUUCAACCCUUUCUAGAAUGUUUCAACGUGAUUUGGGUCAUAAUGGACCCUCGUUCUUCUCCAGUCUUCUCGUCUUAUUACCCCUCACUGAGAGGAGACUGUAAUGAGGCAAUGAAUCUUCUCAUCAGAUGGUAGUUCGUCAUGACAUCUUUAUAUAGAUAUUAAGUGAGAGAAGCUGUGUGAGUGACAGCAAUCGAGAGGAGGCAGAGAACUGCACUCAUUCAGAUCUCCCGUGUCGAGGCUCACAGCAGAAAGGGCAGCGUUAGCUCUGUGGGGUGUGCACUGCCAAGAUGUAUUUGUAUUUCCAAGCAUCGGCCUUCCCUCAGUUUAUGGAUAUCGAUUAUAUUAUUAGUGAAGCAAUGAAUAAGUCAAGACCGGUAUGACUGACUGAAAGCUCAGAAUGCCAGGUCUGAAUGGACGACACGUGUGCAUGGGGUGUCUGAAUUCAGUGUCCUGAGUAAAGCUGGGCUGUGCUUGUGAGCUCUGCUGUGUCUAAUGGAACUGUGCCUUUGGCUUUUCCAGUGUUCCGAUGUGUGCAGAAGUAAAAGGCAAAAAGGCUCUGCCUCCUUCUGUUUUGAGCCAGGAAAGAGGCUAAGGACGAGAAUGAAGACCAGAGCAGACUGCAGUACUCUCUGAGAUGAGGAGAUGAGGUGUUUGCUAUAGCCAUUGUGGAUAUGAGCUUAAUCUGGCAAUCAAACGUAACACGGGCUGUAUUCUUGGGCCUCCAUGCAAUACAGAAGUGUAUGUAUCAACCAAGAAGCCUGUAAGUGAACACAAGCAAAAUGGCGUAUUUCUCUCUCAAAUACAACCAGUGAGUGGUUCCAGUUUUCUUCAAACAUCGGGACUUGCUUGCCAGCUCUACACUUGUGCUUGGUAUUUACAGGACGUCCCAAGACAUGUGAGUAAUAUUCAGAAUUAUUCUGAUCAUUUGCUGAUUGAGCACAUCCCAGAAAGGGAUCGAAUUAUUCCGAAGAAAAAAAUAAAAUUGUUCUUAGGCUGUUCCUAUUCAUGGAGGUUUUUAUUAGUAAUGAACCACUGUGUUCAUCGAUAAACAUGUGCAUCUAUUAAUAGAGAAGAAAAGGCAAAUAUUUACCAAUGACUAUUACUAUAUUGUAAGUCAUCAACAAUGACAACAUGCUGGACUCUGAGGUAGUCAUACCAGAAGAUGUUUCAAGUGCCCCUCUUGGAAAGGGGAUAAAAGGUAGACAUGUGUAGCAGAUACUGUGCACUAGAGUCAGCCACGCACACAUAUUUUCUUAUAUUGUAAUCAAUGACUCAUGGUCUAAACAUAAACACAAUGCAACCGCAGAUAAAUUAUUAGAGGCAUAUACUAAUUAUGAAAAUAAAUAUUUGACCGCAAAUGCUACUAAUACAUGCAGAAAAUCUGAAAACAUAUUAAGAAAUUAUUGUCAUAAAGAGGUAUAUAAUCUUUAUCCAAGUCGACAUAUUGAGUAUAAUUAACGACUUAAACUCUCUAACCUUUCAUAACGAUAUGAAUCUUAAAAAACAAAUAAUGAAAGGAGACAUGUAGAAGUAACUGGAAAAAUAUCAGUCUUUUUAUUAUCAUUGCUGUUUUGUACUCCCUGCAUGGCUGCUGCCUGACACAUUGUUUCUUGACUGGGGGGUCCAUGCUACCUUAUCCUCAUGUUUAACAAACAUGGAAACUGAUAUAACAGGAGCCAACAGCUCUUGUCUUGGUUUGGGUGGCCUUCAUAAGACGCUCCUGUCUUGACAACAGCAGGAAUAGGCUCUAGUCAGGUCAACUCAAGACGAUCUAUGUUGAACUCAACGUGCUCAUGAAUACCAGGUUGAGGAUUUCCACAAUUAAGAGAGAACACAGAGAGACAGGCUAACACAAAGUCUGUUGGGUAACUUCAGUACACCGGGAUCUUGUGCUAGGAUUUUGUGAUGAAGAGUUACGUAAAAAUUCUAAGUGACUCAUAUAGUUAGGUAAUAAAAGUAGGAAAUGCGAGAGAAAGAAAAGGACAGUGUUGGAUCAGUGAUGAGCAUUGAUGAUAUAUGAUCCAGGGAUCAUGAGUACAGGUGUAGGAGUCUGCGGCCUACACCCGAAAGCACAUGGUAUCACGUGUGGAAUUGUGGUAUCAAUAUUGGCUGUAGCAUAGUGUGUUACAAUUCUUAGGUUCACAUGUUUUUAGUCUACUUAUACUUAGAUUAUACUGAAGGAAAGAGGGUGAAACAUUUUCCAAUUAUGAAAAUAAUACGAAGCAGUAAUACUAGCUGUACAAAUAUCAAGGUUCAGAAAUCCACUAGUAACAAAUGACCAGAGGUAUAAUCCCUUAGGUAAGGGUUCUGUGUGCUGUUUAAAAUGGUGACCAAAGUUCUUGCUAGGCUAAGAACCCAGGUCUCCUGUUUAUUGUCUCGAGAAGAAUGUAUCAAAGAUUCAUAUAACUAGAUUGGUAAAAUAAAAAAGGAAUAAUACAAGGGUCUUUGCAUAGAACCUAAUUAUGUUUAUAACCUGUUCUUUUCAUCUGUGCAUGUAUUCCCAAGUCAACUUCCCCAUCUGUCUGGAUCACAAGGUCCAUGGCUAGCCUAGGGUCUUGGGAGCAGAGUAGGCCAUGUAAGUGUAGUUCAUGUUCUUGUGUUCUUAUAGCUUCUGCUUGAAUUAUGAAUUACUCAAGCAUUAUACCCACAAUUAAUGACAGAUACAGCAUUUCC
Rattus rattus (black rat) is the source of this 4399-nucleotide RNA transcript. RefSeq lists it as uncharacterized. The record is from RefSeq and is a predicted model, not a curated record. Lineage: Eukaryota; Metazoa; Chordata; Mammalia; Rodentia; Muridae. The transcript has 14 exons.